CCUGGAUAACACUCGCCAGUCCAGCUUCCCUGCCCCAUCCACCGCUGCCCCCUGGACACUGAUCUCUUGGCUACAUAGCUGAUGCACUCUGGACUGUCCAUUAAUCACGGUUUCUGUCUGUAAUGCCAAGGACCUGAAGUUGACUGUGUGGCGGAUGCUCUUACAUUGCAUUCUGUCAAACCGCCUUGCCAUUGUCACAACCUUGACUGGGGCAGAGCAUAAGGCCUGUUUCAGGGACUUGUUUCUGAAGACCAUUCUUCACAAAGCCAUUCGGAAGAACCUGCAACCCAGGAUGCCAUGGAUAAGGGGGUCCAGAUUCAGGUCACCCUUUAGCUGAAAGGGGCCUCCGAUUGUGAAGGCGGGAGAAGGCGGCGGACAGGGGAGAGGGAUCGGCUGCAGUGAGGGUCAGCAUCAAGUCUCGGACCACCUAUCUCAAAACCAGCCUCUACCCCCAAGCCACAAGACUGAUCCAACAGCUGAACCCUGGGCUGACUCCUGCACCCUACCACACACUUACCAUUUAUUCAUAUUCUGUACACACUUAAAUUACUUUAGUCUACCGGACCAAUGUAAUAGUUAUGUCACCUAACUGCACUAUGUAGAUAUACUUUCAUUAUAGUUCUAUGCUGCUACUGCACUGUAG
This is a long non-coding RNA of Oncorhynchus tshawytscha (Chinook salmon), 643 nucleotides long. The record is from Ensembl. NCBI's taxonomy places the organism in Eukaryota, Metazoa, Chordata, Actinopteri, Salmoniformes, Salmonidae.